UUUUUUUUCCAAAGAAUAAGAAGAUGGCAGUCGCCGAAUUGGAAGAGCUGAAGAAUCAUUUUAAAACGCACACUCGAACGAGGGAAGUCUCUGCACAUUCGGCCAAGGUUCACGCCACUUUGCGAAUUUUUCUCUCGAUGAUGUGAAGUACGAGCCUAUUUACAGGAUUUGGAUCAGUUUCUAUCCGGCCGUUUUCAUGGCUCACUCUAAGCUAUUCGAAUCCAUUUUAUCGAACCCUAAACUAAUCAAUAGUAUUG
This is a long non-coding RNA of Daphnia pulex (common water flea), 257 nucleotides long. RefSeq lists it as uncharacterized. NCBI's taxonomy places the organism in Eukaryota, Metazoa, Arthropoda, Branchiopoda, Diplostraca, Daphniidae. The record is from RefSeq and is a predicted model, not a curated record. The transcript is spliced from 3 exons.